UUGCAAAACUCCCAAACCAUUGUGAACUUACCUCAACGUUGCUUCGGCGGGUUGGCUCCGGGUCUCCCGGGGCCCCCGGCCCUCACGGGCGCCCGCCGGAGGUACUAACUCUUGAAAUAUGGCCUCUCUGAGUGAUUUUAAAUAAGUCAAAACUUUCAACAACGGAUCUCUUGGUUCUGGCAUCGAUGAAGAACGCAGCGAAAUGCGAUAAGUAAUGUGAAUUGCAGAAUUCAGUGAAUCAUCGAAUCUUUGAACGCACAUUGCGCCCGCCAGUAUUCUGGCGGGCAUGCCUGUUCGAGCGUCAUUUCAACCAUCAAGCCCCCGGCUUGUGUUGGGGACCUGCGGCUGCCGCAGGCCCUGAAAACCAGUGGCGGGCUCGCUAGUCACUCCGAGCGUAGUAAUACAUCUCGCUCAGGGCGUGCUGCGGGUUCCGGCCGUUAAAAGCCUUAUUUACCCAAGGUUGACCUCGGAUCAGGUAGGAAGACCCGCUGAACUUAAGCAUAUCAAACGGAGGAA
This 516-nucleotide unclassified non-coding RNA is filed under the name Chaetomiaceae sp. 5-1. RNAcentral describes it as "sequence contains ITS1, 5.8S rRNA gene, ITS2". The stretch from base 151 to 304 matches the Rfam family "5.8S ribosomal RNA". The record is from RNAcentral. Lineage: Eukaryota; Fungi; Ascomycota; Sordariomycetes; Sordariales; Chaetomiaceae.